UAGAGUUUGAUCCUGGCUCAGAUUGAACGCUGGCGGCAUGGUUAAAACAUGCAAGUCGAACGAGAAACAGACUUCGGUCUGUGGACAGUGGCGAAAGGGCGAGUAAUGCGUUUCUAACGUGCCCAGAGGUCAGGGAUAGCCCAGGGAAACUUGGAAUAAUACCAAUCGUAUGGUUUUGCGUGCAAAGGUUUACUGCCUCUGGAUCGGGAAACGUCCUAUCAGCUUGUUGGUGAGGUAAAGGCUCACCAAGGCUAAGACGGGUAGCGGGUGUGAGAGCACGGCCCGCCGCAUCGGGACUGAGACACUGCCCGGACUCCUACGGGAGGCUGCAGUAACGAAUAUUCCGCAAUGCGCGAAAGCGUGACGGAGCAAUGCCGCGUGAAGGAUGAAGCACCUUCGAUGUGUAAACCACUGUCAGAAUCUAGAAAUACUGAUCAACCCCAAAGGAAGGGCCGGCUAACUUCGUGCCAGCAGCCGCGGUAAUACGAAGGGCCCGAGCGUUGCGCGGAAUCAUUGGGCUUAAAGCGUACGCAGGCGGAUUUGUAGGUAUCUUGUGAAAUCCCACGGCUCAACCGUGGAACUGCAGGGUAAACCACAAAUCUUGAGACAAGUAGGGGUCAGUGGAACGAUAUGUGGAGCGGUGAAAUGCGUAGAUAUAUAUCGGAACGCCAAAGGAGAAAUCAGGCCACUGGGCCUGUUCUGACGCUGAGGCACGAAAGCGUGGGUAGCGAACGGGAUUAGAUACCCCGGUAGUCCACGCCGUAAACGAUGCGCACUAGGUGGAGGAGGUUUUGACUCGCUCUCGGCCGAAGCAAAAGUGUUAAGUGCGCCGCCUGGGGAGUACGGUCGCAAGGCUAAAACUCAAAGGAAUUGACGGGGGCUCACACAAGCGGUGGAGCAUGUUGCUUAAUUCGAGGCAACGCGAAGAACCUUACCUAGGCUUGACAUGCACGGAUUAACUCUAAGAAACUAGAGCCACGCCCUCGGGUGGAACGUGCACAGGUGCUGCAUGGCUGUCGUCAGCUCGUGCUGUGAAGUGUCGGGUUAAGUCCCUUAACGAGCGCAACCCUUAUCGUUAGUUGCCAGCGCGUAUGGCGAGGACUCUAGCGAGACUGCCGGUGUUAAACCGGAGGAAGGUGGGGAUGACGUCAAGUCCUCAUGGCCUUUAUGCCCAGGGCUGCAAACGUGCUACAAUGGCGUGGACAGAGCGACGCAAGACCGCGAGGUGGAGCAAAUCGCAAAAACCACGCCCCAGUUCGGAUUGGAGUCUGAAACUCGACUCCAUGAAGCCGGAAUCGCUAGUAAUCGCAGAUCAGCUACGCUGCGGUGAAUACGUUCCUGAGCCUUGUACACACCGCCCGUCAAGUCAUGGAAGCCGGGAGUGCCCGAAGCCGUCGCGAUUCAGCGACGACCACGGCGAGUUCGGUGACUGGGACUAAGUCGUAACAAGGUAACC
Molecule: ribosomal RNA, 1456 nt
Filed under: uncultured prokaryote
Description: partial 16S ribosomal RNA
Rfam family: Bacterial small subunit ribosomal RNA
Source: RNAcentral